GAAAAAAAUAAUAUUUAAUAAAUAACUAACUGAAUCAUAUUAUUGCUAGCCCAUUGUGAGGCUAAGCCCACCCCCUCCCCUUAGUAUAGAUAAUAUCGUUUGUUAAAAAAAACAAAUCAUUUGACAACUAAUUUAAUCAGGUUAUUAUCCGCGAAAGACCUUUUUUUAUAACCGGCAUUACAUGUCUCUUAAGAUGUUUUGAACGUGUUUAAAAAUAGAGAAAAUAAUAUUUAAUAAACAACCGAUUGAAUCAUAUUAUUGCUAGCCCAUUGUGGGGCUAAGCCCACCUCCUCCCCCUUAAUAUAGAUAGUAUCGUUUGUUAAAAAUAAAAAUAAAAACAAUCAUUUGACAACUAAUGUAAUCACAUUAUUAUCCGCAUGUGAAAGACCUUUUUUUAUAACUGACAUUACACGUCUUUUAAGAUGUUUUGAACGUGUUUUUAAAUAGAUAAAUUGAAUCACAUUAUUGGUAGCCUAUUGUGAGGUACUUGAAGGAAUAUUUUGUGAAAACAUGUUCAUUUAAGCAACAUCUAUAAGCAUGCAAUUAACAAUUAAAUGCAGAAUCAUGCUUGCAUGCACUUAAAAACAAAACAUUAACCAUGAAAUUCAAAGCCUAGUAGAUUGGUGAACCAAAACUCAACUCAAAACAAAGUGAGUUGAAAUUAUAUACCUUUGUAGAUUCCUCUUUGCAUAAGCAAAGGCUAAUCACCCAAAGAGAGGGCCUUCAUUCCUUGCAUCUAAAAUCUAUGGAUUUGGAUGGAAGAAUAGGUUUCUCCAAGUUCCCAAAAUUGAGAACCUCUAAGUCUCUUCACCAAGGUUAGAUUGGAGAAGAAAUGAGUGACCUUGGAGUAGUGGGAUUGCUAGAUGCACCCUCCAAGGGGCCGGCCUCUUUAGAGAGAAAUGGAGAGACAUGUUCUCUCCAAUUUUCUCCAAAACAAACCCUAAAUGAAUUUUGGCUAUAAAGUCAUAUUUAUACCUUUAUUCAUUUGAGUGGCAAACUUGUAAAUAAGUCCAAGUUCACUACCCUUAACCAUAUGGCCGGCCUUAGGGUGUUGUUUUGGGCUUUUGGGCCUUUUUGUGAAUUAAGUUGUCAUACAACUUAAGUCAAUGGGCUUGACGUUCGAAGCCCAUUGGGCCUUAAAGUCCAAAACUAUCCCGAGGUCUUUAACGAACUUAUUCGUUUGAUUAAUUAACAUAUUAAUUAAUCCUUGCCAUAAAUAAUUAAACCAUUUAAUUAUUCUUACUCAUCUCCAUUGUUUCUUCAAUCUCCACCUUACACGGUGUACGAUCCAUUAGGUUCCUUUUAGCGAGGCAGUGGGCGAUUUAAAACCAUUUUCAAAUCGAUUGUGAAUUGAAACUUACUUUCAAUUCUCCCUUUAGUGAUUAUACACGUUUAGGGCUUCCACAAACCAAGAGUGACACCUAGCAGCAUAUCAUGGUUACCCAAGCUAAUCAGAAGAGGUAGAGAACCUAUUCAGUUUAGGAUUACAAAUGCAAUACGGUCUUUCUCUAAUACAAUACUCUUGACCACAUUGUUUGGUUUGAUAGUUUAUUUAUUCAUGUCUACUAUCCAAUGUGAUUCGUGCGCUUAUAUGAUUUCCUUGAAUGUGAUUUGGAACGUCUUUCCUAAAUCUCAUUCAUACUUUGGCCAGAGGUUUUAAUCAUAUCAUAGAGUAUUCUCCCUCAAACGGUUUGAACGUUAGAGAUCCCUUGUUGCGCAUUCACUUGCCUCCAUAGCUAAGUGGCUUAACCCCAACUAUGCCGUGGACACCCCGAUGGGGUGACUUUGACAUAAUCAAAGAUCAAGGACUUAACCACAAGACAACUGUGAUGCCUCAGGUCAAAUGACUACUUUGCAUUAUCCCAACCAUGAGUUCUCAUGUGACAUGAAUAUGAGAACUCUUCGUUGAUCGUGUUCAGUGAACUCAUUCUCUAUUGAGCACCUACGUACUUGUCUUGAUGUCACACACACCAAUGACUCGAGACUAGUCACUCUCCCUGAGAGAAGACACAGCACGUACUGAUCUUAACGGACUGUCAAUGCCCAAUUGGCAAUCCUAUGAUCAGGAACGUUUAGGAUGUGUCUACGAAAGAAUGGUCUCAUGAAUCUAACUUCUUUAGAUUCGCAUUCUCCCAAUCACAUAUUCCUUGGACUUUAUCGUUUAAGCAUAUAACAUUUAUAUGAGACGGCUCAAACAAUAAUCUUUGCCCUUUAUAUUAAACUAGAUUAGUUUAACAUGUGAAAUGUCCGUAAAGUAUCAUCAUAUGAUUGGUUUUAGGGCACAUUUCCAACAAUCUCCCACUUGCACUAGAGCCAAUCAGCUUGGUCAUCAGUGAUGAUACCUCUUCUGUAGUCAUUUCAUAAAUGGCUGAAGUAGUAGGCCUAGACAAUGGAUAUCUAUAUGUUAUCCAUAGAAGCAACCUUGAGAAUAACGACGUCACCAUUAUACAUGAUUCUCAAUCAUGUGGUUCAGUCUCUCAUUUGAGUUCGGACCUUGAUGAGACCUUGAUUCCCUGGCUUGAGCUAUCGCCCCAUUAGUGUCAUAGUGUCGAUACACUAGAUACACUUUCUGGUUGGAACCGAAUAGAGAGUUCAUAAAUGAACUUUCCCAUCCAAACAACAUUGUUGUAAAGCUUCUAUAUGGCAAUAUAUUUUGCAUUCAUAAUGGAACACACUAAAGUCAUUACUUUAAUGUUUCCAUCCAAAUAUCUCUUUAGUCAUAAUAAAGAGAGAUAUCUGUUUAUCUCUUCAUUCAUAAUGAAGAAACAUCCAAUGAUGGAUUAGAUUCAUAAUCUAAUACAUUUACGCUUCCAUUACGUUACUCUAAUUCUUCCUCGAUUCUUUGAGGAAUUUAUCCUUUAGUAUUUCUUAAAUACUUAAGGACUCACUUGACAGUUGCCAUGGUUCUGAUCCUGGGCUUGCCACUGAUAUCGUCUUGUACCGUUCUAGGUACAACUCAUAUCAAUGUUUUUCAUACAAUAUGAAAUACAUAAAUCACCUUUAUGCGUAUGCAUAAAGGAUUCUAUUUACGCAUUAUUUCUUUGGGAGUCAAAAGGGCACGUUCCCUUUGAGAAGGGCAACUUGCUAGUCUCACUAGAGUUGUUCUUCUAAUUGAAGUUUAUCAUCAUAUGAGAAACUUCCUAGCAUCUUUUGUCUAUUAUUAGGGAUUGAUAUAAUCAAAUUAUAUCUUGAAAUCUAUCAUUAUAGAUUUCCAUCCCAUGUAUAUAGACUAUGUCUCCCAUAUACAUUCUAUCUUCAUAUAAUGUUUUAAAGUCAUAACUUUAACGAAGAAGUAUUCUUUUCAUUUCCAAAAUUAAUAUAUCAUAUAUAUAUUCAUAUAUAUCACAUAUAUAUUUAUAUAUAUAUAUAUACAAAUUUAGGAAUAUGAUUAACUCCCACUAAUCUUUUGUAAACCUAGUAAACAAAAGAUUCAUUUACAUCUUUAUGAGAAAUCAAACGAUUUGAUCCUUUUCUCAUAAGACGCUUAUAGCUCCCACUAGCUUGCUAAGAUCCAUGAUGGAUGGAUCUCUACAACUUACAUGUCUUGUGAUUCAUAGUUUUAGACAUAUAUUAUCAAGACUAUCUUAAUAAUGGUUUCGGAAACCCAUAUUAUGUCCAAACAUUGAAUCACCAUUUAGUUGUAGCUAGCAAUCUUCGAAUUAAUUGAAACUAAGACUACGUCAAAAAUGGUUCCUUCAAAGUCAACCAUUCUCUUUGAUUGUAGUCACCUUAAGCUACCAAUUAGCUUAUGAAGGUUUCAUUAUUUCGGGUCAAAUGGUACUUUACCAUUUCCUUGAGUAUAUAUCAUAUAUAUACACUCAAUGUAGUCAUAAGGAUUUUCAUUCUUAUUUCUUUCGAAUUAAGAGGUGCAACUCUAUGACAUAGUCAUAAAGUUCAAACCAUUCAACUGAGACGGUUUAUAAAUCCUUCUCGACUACCUUGGAGCUUGUGGUAUAGGAACUAGGUUGUUAUAUUUGUUGAUUACUAUCUUGUCUCUCAAAGAACCCAUUCUUUGAGUUCUAUCUCUCGUUCAUUUGCAUCUCAGGCAAAUCACAUUGUAGGAUUACAAUGAACUACCCAACAAAACAACAUUUGUUAGUUGGUUUAUAGAAGCGAUAUCCAAAAGUUAAUUUAAGGAUAUCCCACAAGAUUGUUAUCAAACAAAUAUUGCUUAUUAGCACACAACCCCAAAUCUUAACAUGCUUGAGAUUUGUCUUUCUUUCCAACUACAUCUUAUGGAGUCAUGAAAAUAUUGGAAGAUCUUCUCAUUGACAAUCAUAUUGUUUUAGAAGUAUAUAUCCUAUAUAUGGGUAAUAGAUAACAUCUAACGAACUAAAUCUUAUUCGAGUUCGUUCUUCUCCUAAUGGAGAAAUUCAUUAUCUUAUGAUGCUUUUUCCUUGAUAUCUUUCAAGGAAACUCAUUCUAAAGUGUUACCUUUCCUUGGAUCAAAUCUAAGGAGGUAAAUACUUUAGACGUCUUACUCAUCAACUUACAUUUCUUGAAUUCUUUGAAACCAUUUUGCAAAGUAUUCGGACUUGUGUUUAUUCAAAAUAAACUAUAGUCCAACCGAGAGUGAUCUUCGGUGAAUGUCAUACAACAUGAGUAGUAUUAUGUUGUGGACAAGUGCCACUAACAUCUAAGUGAAUUAACCUCAACAACUUUGUGAUUCUUUCUUCUUUCCAAAAGAAUAAAGAUUCGAACAUUUCGCCUCUAUACACAAUUUUAACAAGAAGGUAUUGGAUCCGGAUCUAACGAUCCAAAGCAUCCAUCUAUGACCAACUCGUAAUUUAUGUUUUAGAGGUAUCACAACUUUAGUUGGGAUUAGUCACUACCUUGCAACCUUUUGGGUUUUAAGCAUCAUUAUAUUCUAAACAGUUAACACUACCAUAUUAUCUCUCUACUAUAGAGACAAUCAAUUAGAUUACCAUAAUCCAAUCAUUGAUUAAUAAAGAACAAUGUUUUGUCAAACAAAACAUUUAUCCAUUUCACAUAGUGACGGAAUUUAGUUCCUUAAAAUUGGAAUAUAAAGACAAUCUUAUGUUUUUCCAAUUUCUUUGGUAGUUCAUAUGAGAAGUAAGUACCAUCUGCUUUCGCAGAGAUCUAUAUUUGAUUCACUUUCCGAAUGUGAAGUACCUUUCUCUUCUCUCAUUAAUCUUCUACUUCUUAUUAGUCACACUUUUACAACGAUUGUAAAACAUAGUUACUAAUACGGAAUCAAGCAUUCAAGUAGAAGAACCAACUGUUUUGAACUAUUCAAGAACAAUUUACAACACCUUCGAAAGGUGUGUUCUUGACACUUGCAAGACAUUUCUUGCAAAUACCCCUUCCAAUGUCCAUCCUUUCAUAAAGAAAGUUUGUUCCCUUGGAGUUAAUUUUAUCUUCUUCAUUUGACUUCUCCUUUGACUACAAUAGUCAUGGUCCCUAAACUCCCACUAUCUCUCUUGAAAACUUAUUUCAAUUGUGUUUAUACACAUCAAACAAUUUGGAGAGCAUGUGGUUUAUUGUUCACUACAUAGUUUACAAUAAACUUAGUGAACCAUUAGGGGAUAGGGACACAAAGGUGAAGUCCUUGCCUAGUUUCCGUCUCGUUAAGUGGUUUAUCACUUCAACACUCAAUGAUUCAAAAUCAUCAUAAGUCCAUGUUAAUGGACUAUUUUUGUCAACCAACCAUUAUGUUCUAAACAUAAUUACAAACUUUCAAGAGUUGUUCAAGGCAACUCUCAUUUCUUCAUACAACAAUUUGUAAGUGAAGAAUCAUGGCACAUAAAGUGUCCAUGCCUUUGUGCUUUCUUCUCAAGUUCUUUGUUCAUUUAACAAAGAAACAAGCACUAGUGUUUGCAUUGACUAAGGGUUGUUCAAAGCAACUCUUAUUUUCUUCAUACAACGAUUUGUAAGUGAAGAACUAAUAACACUAAAAGUGUCCUUGUCAUUAUGCUAAUCUUCGUAAGUUCCUUUGUUCAUUUAACAAAGGAUUAAGCAUUGGUUGUUUGUGUUGUCCUCUUCAUGAUAGACUUUAUCUAACAUGUUCUUUCAAUGAUACAUUAAACCAAUAGAACGAUUUUGAGGAUGAGACUAGUCCGGAAACUAAAGCAUUCGGCUUUUCUUUGUCAAGUUUUGGAUAGCGUUUGCAAUAUAUAUUGGUAAACAAAUACAUAACGAAUAUAAAUUGAUUGAUUUUAAGCCAUUUGAUUCGGGUCUUUAAAUCAAAUAGCACCACCCACUAUUUUUGGCAAAUUCCAUAUCCCUCAUUGGAAUUCGAGAGUUUUGGAUGAAACUUCAGUAGUAGGUUAUGGGAGGCUCACUAUUACCAAGCCCACCUCACAAUGAUAUGAUGUUGGCUAGCAUUAAUAAUAAUGAGAGAGUACGCUUACUCAUUUGCAACUAAUGCAAGUACCCAUCUUAUUUGGCCUCUAGAGAAUGUCACCUCACAAUGAUAUGAUGUUGGCCUCCAUUGCACUUAAGUUAAGUCAUUCCCACCAUGCUUAGUUCGUGAAAGGGUUCAAGAAUAGCCUCACGAAUGAUACGAUGUUGGCCAUCUCUCGUUGCCUACACUCACCUCAUCAUAUGUUUAUGGAUUCCCUCCUGAGUAAGCAUGCACUUUGUACUCCCCAUGAUAGGGUGAAGCCGGUGUACAAGUCAUAAACGAUUGGAGCCCACCACGGUGGAAGGCCACGAAAGAGUGUUCAAAGCACUCUCACGCUUAUCAACUUAAUAAUGGUUUUGGUUGAGGGUUUUAGGUCUCAUCACAUAUAAACAUACAUUUUAAUCUCUAUUAAAACAAUUUUGGUCCUAUUACAACUAUUGGUCCAUUGAUUGUUUUAGUUGUAUAUAAUACUCCCACUAUGCUUAUAAAACGGUUUUUAAAGCAAGAGUAUAUGAUACUACUAACAUAAUCUUUGCAUUCAUUUGAUGGACUAUAUAGUUGCCUUAGGGCCUUAGGAUGACUAUGAACCUUUGUUUAGAUUCAACACGAGCCUUGUGUUGAAUCUCGGUCUAGGGAUGGUGAUUGAUUUUAGUUACGCGUUUAAUCACAUUAAGGCGUGUUGUCUUAGGGGCGUUGGACCCAACUACUUCAUUUUCAUGCAUAUCAAAUAAAGCAAGAAAGAAGUACUUCAAAGUAAAGGUGAGCUUAUGCUCAUUACAACAUUUGCAUAAACAAAUUACUUUAAAGUAAAGAAGAGCUUAAGCCCUUUUACAACAUUUGAUCAAAUCAAAUUACAACCAAAAUCUAAUCUACACAUUCCCAUGGUUCAAACAAAUUUGAAACGGCCUUUCACAUAGCUCAAUUAUAUUAGGCUUAGGUUCAUAAUCACCCUUUAAAUUAAUUAACACUUUAACUAAUUAAAUUGAAUGCAACAUUUUCAUUUGGUUUUUGUAUCCAUAAAAAUUGAUUUAAAUGGAGCUAAACAAAAUGAAAAUAAAAUUCUCAUUUUAAAAAAAAGACAAAACAAUUUGUUUCAAACACCUCAAACAAAGAAAAUUUGGGCCAAUAUGAAUAAACCAAACCUUUUUGGGCAAUAACUUUAAAAACACAAACUAUGAACCACAAAACCCAAAAGGAUUCACAACUACUAGACCUAGGCUCUGAAACUUCCAGUGAGGAAACAAUUGUUUUGAAAGCAUGUUUUUGAACAUCUAUAAGCAUGCAAUUAACAAUUAAACAUUUGGCACAAAAAACAAAACAUGAAAAAAAUUCAAAGCCUAGUAGAUUGGUGAACCAAAACUCAACUCAAAACAAAGUGAGUUGAAAUUAUAUACCUUUGUAGAUUCCUCUUUGCAUAAGCAAAGGCUAAUCACCUCAAAGAGAGGGCCUUCAUUCCUUGCAUCUAAAAUCAUGGAUUUGGAUGGAAGAAUAGGUUUCUCCAAGUUCCAAAAUUGGAAACCUCUAAGUCUCUUCACCAGGUUUAGAUGAAGAAAUGAGUGACCUUGGAGUAGUGGAUGGAUUUUCCAAGUUCCAAUGGAAAGGUUUCUCAAGUUCCCAAAUGAGAACCUCUAAGUCUCUUCACCAAGGUUAGAUUGGAGAAGAAAUGAGUGACCUUGGAGUAGUGGGAUUG
Molecule: long non-coding RNA, 8054 nt
Filed under: Malus domestica (apple)
Lineage: Eukaryota; Viridiplantae; Streptophyta; Magnoliopsida; Rosales; Rosaceae
Description: long non-coding RNA (MDOM_LNC005856)
Source: RNAcentral